GCAAUUGUACGGCGAAACUGCGAAUGGCUCAUUAAAUCAGUUAUAGUUUAUUUUAAAUUUCCUUACUACUUGGAUAACCGUGGUAAUUCUAGAGCUAAUACAUGCUAAAAUGCCCGACCCCUGGGAGGGCUGUAUUUAUUAGAUAAAAAACCAUCCCCUUCGGGGUCUUUGGUGAUUCAUAAUAACUUUACGGAUCGCAUGGCCUUGUGCCGGCGACU
RNAcentral lists this ribosomal RNA (218 nucleotides) under uncultured eukaryote. Its description in RNAcentral is "partial 18S ribosomal RNA". It matches the Rfam family "Eukaryotic small subunit ribosomal RNA", at positions 69 to 292 of the family's 1831-position model. The record is from RNAcentral.